This is a long non-coding RNA of Parus major (Great Tit), 6891 nucleotides long. RefSeq lists it as uncharacterized. The transcript has 3 exons. The record is from RefSeq and is a predicted model, not a curated record. NCBI's taxonomy places the organism in Eukaryota, Metazoa, Chordata, Aves, Passeriformes, Paridae.
CCGCCCCUCGAAUGACGACCCCCCGGCACGUGACCCCGUUGCCAUGGCAGCGCCCCGCUGAGGCCUGACGGGGCCCUGGGAAACAGGAACAUCAAAUAAAUAUAGAAAUUGUAAAUGCAAAUCUAAGUGUAAGAGUAAAUGUAAAUGUCAGAGUAAAUGUAAGUGCACAUGUAUAGAAAGCAAAGGGCUGAGUUUUACCAGACAUGCUGAACAAGACACUCACCUUCCAGCUACUCUGUCAUCAAUUUGCUAAGGAACCAUAAAAGAAAGUCAAAACAACUCCUCAAAACAUGCAGGUAUCGUGUUGUGAAUCAGCUGCAAACCCCUCUUGGACAGGAAAUGCUUCACUGCACUUGGUACAUGUCUUUUCAGAGACCUGCCAAAAGAGAAAUGUGUUAUUAAAUGAAUCAUGUUCAACUGCUCUGAACUGCUUUAGAUUCCUUGAAACCUGAGCAUCUCAGUUUACUACAGUGCCUGUGAAAAACAUGGUCUUAAAUUACAAGGUUUCGGUGGAAAAGCAGUUGUGCAACAAAUUGGAGAGUUUCAGUGACAAACUCAAGGAUUUCAGUGACAAACUCAGGUGUUUUUGUAAAAAAUCUGAGAGUUACAGUGACAAACUCAAGGACUUUUGUAAAAGACUCGAGGGUUUCAGUGACAAACUCAAGGGGUUUUGUAAAAAACUUGAGGGUUUCUGUAUCAAACUUGAGGAUUCCAGUGACAAACUUGAGGAUUUCUAUGACAAACUCCAGGGUUUCUAUGACAAACUCCAGGGUUUUUGUAAAAAACUCAAGGAUUCCACUGAUAAACUUGAGGAUUUAGUGACAAACUCAAGAGGGUUUGUAAAAAACUCGAGGGUUUCUGUGACAAACUUGAGGAGUCCAGUGACAAACUCAAGGGUUUCUGUGACAAACUCGAGGAUUCCAGUAACAAAUUCCAAGAUUUUAUUGCCACUUGAGGGAGCUCAAAGAUAAUUGACUUUGCAGAGCCACCUGGAGUUUCCUAAUUCCAGGGAGACCAUUUCUAUCCACAGCUAGAAUGGAUAACUUUGGAAAGCAAAGCUAAAUCGAGCCUGGGGUUGUAUUUCUCUUGUCCUGUGUAACAUCAGAGUAAUUAUCAGAGUGUAAGAAAUUACAGCCAUGUAUCCAGAAUAUUUAACAGGUGAAAAAGACAAGUUUUCCACUUGCUAAUUCCCAGUAUUUGCCUUUCUUCCCCAUCACCUUCACCUUGGCUGUGCCCUUGCUGUGCCUGAGGCUCGUGGCUGUGAUGUUCCUGUGGGUUCAGCCAGGAAAGUGUUUAUGUCCAAGAUAAAUACAGUGGAUUGCUCUAAAACUCAGGCUUUAGCAUGUUUAUUACAGAUGCUGCCUCCCCAUAAACCAGAGCACUUACAGUGCCACAUGAUCCCAAAUGUUGUGUUUAACAGCAGCAGAUGGAGGAAAAGCUGUGUACAGGACUUUAUAGGGGCCAUAAAAUCCUUGUGCCUGUGGCCUCCUCUCCUUGCACUGCCCAGAUCAAUCAGGUGCAGGGAGCACUCAGGACAGUAAAUAUUCCCAGGAAACGAGGAUGAGUUUCAGGGUUCAGCUCCUCAGUGUUACUGCUGGCUUUGGGAAGGUGCUUCAACACUGCAACGAAGCAGGAGCUGUAUUUCACAUGGUUAAACUGACUCCACCAUCAUUUCCCCAUUGUCCAUCUUCUGAAGGAAAAAUCUCAUGGUUUCCUCCCAAGGGAUGAAGGAUCUGUCAUACACAGGCACACAAACAGUUUUUAAUCACUCCACGUGCUGAGGAAUGGGUGAUUACAAACCUCUGUCUCACUCAAAUGUUAUUGGGAGUUUCUGCAGCAUUCCAAGAUGAGCGUGAUUUCUUCAAAUGUGAUUUCUUCAAAGUGCUGGGAAGAGGCUGAGGAAGCUUUUCUGCCCCAUAAAUCUCUCUGAGAGCAAAGAUCCUGGCCUGAGGAAGCUCCUGUGGCUGGGAGGGAUCCUGUGCCAAAGCAAACAGCUCCUGCCUCUGCUGAGUCACACGAGCACUGAGUGGGGUGGGUUUGUGGCUCCUCGUUCCACACUGUUAAAUGUUGGUCUGCAUCCUUCCUGAAAUUCACAGCUCUUCCCAAGGCUCCUUCUCCAACAGCCAGCUCAGGUAAUGGAGUAAAAAACGCCUCCCAGGAGAGUGUUUUGCACAUUAAUGAUGUGCAGCUCCUCAGCCAAGCCAGGACUUUCGGGAGGACUUUUUGGAUGUUCCAGGCCAGGCUGGCCAGGGCCUGGAGCCCUGGAAGGUGUGGAAGGUGUGGUAUGAGAUGAUUUUCAGGUCCCUUCCCACCCAAACCAGUCUGGGAUUCUGGGAUUUCAGACCUUCAGGCUGUGGGGACUAGAAUUGAAUUUCUAGGUAACACUUGAACCUGGCUCCAUGCACAACUUUGUCCCUGUUUUCCUCAGGAUACACAAAUUCCUGGUGGAUCUUAACAGUGCUAAGUUUUAAAAAUCCCCAGGUGGAAAUACUGAACAACUACGGCUGCCUGAGAGCCACUGAAGCAAAGCAUUUCCUGGAGAGAUCAUCUUUGAAAAGAUGUAUUCUCAAAACAUUUAAACUUCAUAAAACUCUCCUGUUUCAUCCAGCGGGAUGGACAUGAAGGAUUUCAUGACUAACCCUGGAAUUUCAGGAGGAAGCUUUGAUCCUGAAUCAGGUGCUGCAGGUUGGUGCCACCCAGCCUCAGUGCCCUGGGAAUGAAGGAAGUUCCCACCCUGGUCAAGGGCUCUGCUUCCCUCCUCUGGCUGAAGGCCAGGAGAGCUCAUUGUCACCAGGGCUCCUCAUCCUCUGGGAACGGGAGUGAUGGAAGCCCAGAAAUGGAUGGGAGAGGGAACUGCUUCCCCCUGGCUCCGUGGCAGGGCUGCAGCAUCCCCUUGUACAUCCAUCCAUCCAUCCAUCCAUCCCCUGUAACCACAGAGAUCAUCCUGUUCCCAAAGCCAGGGCUGCUCCCAGCACCUGGCACUCCAAGGAUCCGGCAGCACCUCCUCAUUCCAGCCUCCUGCUGUCCCCUCUCAGCUCUGAGUUCUCUCCCUCUGCUCCUUCAUUCCAAAGGCAGAUCUCCUGUCAGGCUCCUGCUUUCCCCCCGCCCGAGGCUGAGCAUUUUCUGCACGUCCAGCAGUUCCUCCUCAGGCAUUUCCUCUGCCCUCCAGGGGCUGAACUUUGCUGGAGACUUUCCAAGACCUGGCUAAGGUGGGGUGGAUUUUUUUCCUUCUCUCUGCUGCAGUCUGGAGAACUUUCCAAGCAAACAGCUUGGUUCAGUGGUCCGGUUGUUCCCUGAACUUUAAUUCCUUUGCUGGUACACCUGAUCCCUCACUUUCAAAUUAAUUCCUCCCCUCUGUGGAAUUCCUUCUCACCAGCUCUCCCAGGCCUUGGAUCUGAGGAAAUUCGAUUAAAUUCUGUCUUUGUAGCUGAUGUGGUUAUGUUAAAUAUUCUCAUUGGGUUGAAAUUGUUUAAAAUAAAACCAAAAAUGAAAAAUCACAAUUAUUCCAAUAAUCCUCAGUCAUCUCCACACACCCAGCUCUGUCUCAGAGUAUGGGACUUUGCUUCAUAACCCAAGAACGUGAUACCAUGGGGGAAAGAAUUACAAAAAGCUCAAGGAAAGGAGAAAAGGGUGGGAAAGGGGGAGAAUAAUUAUUUCCUUAUAGGCAAAGAACUGGAAACAAGCUGGAGAAGGGAGGAAAAACUAUUUCACAAACUGAUAAUUCAAAUUAGAGGACAAGAAGUUCUGCCCAAGUAUUUGUUAAAGGGCUGGAGAGGGAGAUGAAAUGCAAUUUUCUUUUUUAUUUCUUUCAAAGAGUGAAUAAGAAAUUAUUUUGCACAGAAAAAAAAAUUGUGAUCUAAUUCUGAAAAUAUAUAAUUUCCUUUAGAAGCACCUUGCUCAACACUUGAUUUCCCAGUUUCACUCACAGAUUACAAUUCUUUGCAUUUUUAUAUCCCUGAGCUCCCCACCUUGUGGUUUCUAAGUGCAAACAAUUUCCUCAAUAUUAUUCAUGGCCUGAGAGAAGGAAACGAGUGGGUUCACCUUGUUCCCCAUAAAUGACAAGUGAAUAAAUACAAGUCCUACAGAUUCAUCCCAGAAUCCCUGCAGCUGGAAAGGACCUCCAGGACCAUCAGUCCAGCUGUUAACCUAGCACUACACCACAUUCUCAGGAUUUUUGAACACUUCCAGGGAUGGGGACUCCAUCACUCUCUGCAUGGUAACCAGAAGAUGAAGUCAGAUUAGAAAAAAUUGAAGAGAAAAUAAAUAAAGUUUCUUUUUUCUCUUAUCUGGAAGGCAAAUACAGCUGCCUUUUUUUUUUUUUUUCCUGGAAAUUUGAGCUCCACAACCACAAAGCAUUCAUAGAAAAUGCAACUCCAAGUUCAAAUAUCUGACAUCUGACAACAAGUGCCAAGGGCAUGGCUCUGGAAAGUGAUAGGGAAUGGAAAAUGGGGAGAGAAAACUGAACUCAGGAAAGGGAACAGAUAAAAAUCCUGCUUUAGAGAGCCAUGCCAAGUAAGAACAUCCCAUCCUGCAGCUGGAGUGUUUGCUUCCUUGUUCGAGUUUGCUGGCAAACUAUGAACUCACACUUCUUAUGUUCCACUCCAACAAGAAGUGCUUUGGGACAGGCCUUGGCUCCAGGAUCUCCAGCUGAAUUCCCUGGAUCCAAUUUCCACCCAGCCUGCUGGGGAACGGACUCCUCAUUCCCUUGGGAAUGCACCCGUCAGGCUCUGUCCGAGCCCUGGUAACCACUGGGGUGUUGUGCUUGGCUUCUCUGAGUUUACAUCUCCACCAAAAGAGGGGAAACAACUGAUGAGGGCUUUUCUAACUCCUUAAAAUCUGAUUCUUGCAGGGAAUUGGAGCCAGCAGAUGUGCUGGAGAUAAGGGGUGGGACGAGGCACAUCUGAGCCCUGCUCUGGUGGUGCUGGGCAGGAGGGAUGGCACCACCACCAAAACCCAGAUCGCAGCUCUCAUAGUCAGGGCUCCCAAAUCUGCAUCCUCAGCACUCCAGACCCUUCUUUUCCAAAGUCACUUCACCAAAGUCACGCUGCAAAUUGGUCAUAAUUCAUCAGCUUUGUAUCAUUUUUUUGUCUAGAAUUUGUUUAGCAUUCCUGCUUCCAGCCUGAGCUGUCCCAACAUCAUUUCAGCUUCUAGUCCACACAUUCCCAGCCCAUUUCCCUGCACUUUCUGCUCACCAAGCAAGAAGGAGCUUUUUAUAAGCUUCUUACACUGACACCUGAAAGAGCAGUGCUGCUGUCAGCACAUUCCCAGCCUUUCUUCCCUGGGAAUAUUUCCCAGAGCCAGCCUCACACCCUGUGUGCUCCCCUGGAAAAGUGAUUUCCCUACAAGGCUGAAGGGCUGGGAUUUUCAGGGAGUUCCACCCAGCAGAAAAUGCCUGAUAGUGGCUGUGGAUGGUGUCCAGCAGCUCCUCGUGGCCCAGCAACCUUCCCUAAACACAAAUGCUUCCAGGAAAUGGGAAAGAAACACAUCCCACGGGACUGGGAAGAGGGCCUGGAUGAAUCACUGCUCCCCACACACAUCUCCAAGGAAAUGAGGGAAAAUAAAUGGGUUCCAAACAGCACAACUGGCUCCCUGGGGGCCUCGGUUGGGGAGUUAUCCUACAGCCACAGCAUCCCAAUCCCCAUGGAUGCAGCGCCUGGCUCAAUCCCAGUUUGGGGCUGGAAGAAAAGCACCAACACACAGCUCUGCUGACGCAGCAGCCUGUGGAGGAUCUGUCAGAAAACCUUUGUGCUGUUGCAAUACUUUCCUCAUUGCUUUGUGCACUCUGCAAACAGAUUUGGCAAGCAGGCAUUGUUACCCUGGGAUCCUCCUCCAGGAUUUAUUGGGGAUGUUUAAUACCUGCCACAGCCAUCCUGCUUUUCUCGGAGCUGGCACCAAAUGCUGGCCCUGAAGUGACAAUUUCUUGUUGCUUCUGUUGGCUCAGGAUAAGCCACAAAGCCAAGAAUGGUUAUGAAAGUGCCACUCCCAAAGUGUCCCACUCCCCUCCCAAAGGGUCCCACUCCCCUCCCAAAGGGUCCCACUCCCCUCCCAAAGGGUCCCACUCCCCUCCCAAAGGGUCCCAACCCCACUCCCAAAGGGUCCCACUCCCAAAGGGUCCCACUCCCAGGGUUUGGGGAUGCUCCUGCUCUUGUUCCCAUCACCUCUCAGCUAAGGGAUAAGCAAGAAGAAACAGGGAUAAGAUGUCAAGUUCCUGUUCUGAUCAACAGCUGGGAAGGUGCUUUAGCCCCCAGACACUGCUGGCUCCAUAACCAGGUUAUCUUUGGGUUGGAAUCGUGGAAUGCUUUGGGAUGGAAGGACUUUAAAGCUCAUCCAGCCCCACCCCUGCCAUGGGCAGGGACACCUUCCACUAUGCCAGGCUGAUCCAAGCUGGCCUUGGCCACUGCCAGGGAUCCAAGAACAUCCAGAGCUGCUCUGGGAAUUCCAUCCCAGCCCCUCCCCACCCUCAGAGGGAGUGAGUCCUUCCCAGGAUCCCAUCUAAGUUUCUCCCACUUUAGUUUAAAUGCAUUUCCCCUUGUCCUGGCAUUCCAAGGUCCCUCUCCAGCUCUUUCAGGCUCCCUUUAGGUCUUGGAAGGCCCCAGUUAAAUCUCCCCAGAACUUUCUCUUCUCCAGGUUGGACACCCCCAACCCUCAGCCAACAGUCUGAGAAAAGUCUCCUGCAGCCAACUGCAGAAAAAUGAAAAAAUAUCCAACAACUUCUUCAAUUCUGCAUUUUUAGUUAAUGAAACAGAUUGAUCAGGGAAACCCAAAUUGCUUUAUCAGCAAGACUGACCUGAACCAGACUCUCCUAAACUCCUGUCCCUUCCUUGCUUUGCCAAGGAAACACAGUAAAUGGAAAGAUGGAAACACAGCAAAAAUAAAAGGAGGAAGAAUUCA